ACACGACUACAUUAGAUACCCGUGUAGUCCUAGCCGUAAACGAUACUCGCUAGGUGUCGGCCACGGUGCGACCGUUGUCGGUGCCGUAGGGAAGCCGUGAAGCGAGCCACCUGGGAAGUACGGCCGCAAGGCUGAAACUUAAGGAAUUGGCGGGGGAGCACCGCAACGGGAGGAGCGUGCGGUUCAAUUGGAUUCAACGCCGGACAACUCACCAGGAGCGACGGUUACAUGAAGGCCAGGCUGAUGACCUUGCCUGAUUUUCCG
RNAcentral lists this ribosomal RNA (264 nucleotides) under uncultured archaeon. RNAcentral describes it as "partial 16S ribosomal RNA". It matches the Rfam family "Archaeal small subunit ribosomal RNA", at positions 719 to 982 of the family's 1478-position model. The record is from RNAcentral.